AGAGCGAACGUUAGCGGCGGGCCUAACACAUGCAAGUCGAACGAGAAUGAGGGGGCAACUCCUCUAGUAAAGUGGCGGACGGGUGCGUAACACGUGGGUAAUCUACCUUCCGGCGGGGGACAACAGUCCGAAAGGAUUGCUAAUACCGCGUACGUCAGCGAGACCUACGGGUCUUGUUGGGAAAGAUGGCCUCUCCUUGGAAGCUGUCACCGGAAGAUGAGCCCGCGGCCCAUCAGCUAGUUGGUGAGGUAAUGGCUCACCAAGGCUUAGACGGGUAGCUGGUCUGAGAGGAUGAUCAGCCACACUGGGACUGCGACACGGCCCAGACUCCUACGGGAGGCAGCAGUGGGGAAUAGUUGGGCAAGUGGGCGAAAGCCUGACCCAGCCACGCCGCGUGAGUGAUGAAGGCCUCGGUACGUAAAGCUCUGUGGGAGGACGAACGAAGCCUGUGGCUAAUAUCCGAACGGCCCUGACCGGUACCUCCUUAGACAAGCACCGGCUAACC
This 505-nucleotide ribosomal RNA is filed under the name uncultured soil bacterium. Its description in RNAcentral is "bacterial SSU rRNA". It matches the Rfam family "Bacterial small subunit ribosomal RNA", at positions 26 to 502 of the family's 1533-position model. The record is from RNAcentral.